This 476-nucleotide ribosomal RNA is filed under the name Bacillus altitudinis. Its description in RNAcentral is "bacterial SSU rRNA". It matches the Rfam family "Bacterial small subunit ribosomal RNA", at positions 80 to 542 of the family's 1533-position model. Lineage: Bacteria; Bacillati; Bacillota; Bacilli; Caryophanales; Bacillaceae. The record is from RNAcentral.
UGCUCCCGGAUGUUAGCGGCGGACGGGUGAGUAACACGUGGGUAACCUGCCUGUAAGACUGGGAUAACUCCGGGAAACCGGAGCUAAUACCGGAUAGUUCCUUGAACCGCAUGGUUCAAGGAUGAAAGACGGUUUCGGCUGUCACUUACAGAUGGACCCGCGGCGCAUUAGCUAGUUGGUGAGGUAACGGCUCACCAAGGCGACGAUGCGUAGCCGACCUGAGAGGGUGAUCGGCCACACUGGGACUGAGACACGGCCCAGACUCCUACGGGAGGCAGCAGUAGGGAAUCUUCCGCAAUGGACGAAAGUCUGACGGAGCAACGCCGCGUGAGUGAUGAAGGUUUUCGGAUCGUAAAGCUCUGUUGUUAGGGAAGAACAAGUGCAAGAGUAACUGCUUGCACCUUGACGGUACCUAACCAGAAAGCCACGGCUAACUACGUGCCAGCAGCCGCGGUAAUACGUAGGUGGCAAGCGUU